AGUCAAUCAAGUGAUUUCUAAUUAUUUUUAAAGAGAAAUAUCCACAACAUGUGCCAAAAUAAAAGGAGUCUUCAAGCUCAUAAAGGGAUCAGAAGUCAAGAUGGCCUUAUUGAGAGGAGAGGAAUUACAGGAGAAUAAAUAUUGACGGAGCCUCCUUUUUCCUGAUACUUCCAAGUGCACCAGCCCUGCCAAGCCCUAUUCUAGGGGCAGCCACUGUUCAGAGAGCGGUACGGACAUCGCACAUCAGUGGUAAGCUCUGAGGUCAGACAGACCUAAGUUCUCACCCUGGCUUCCACACUUCAGCCACGUGACUUCG
This 316-nucleotide long non-coding RNA is filed under the name Fukomys damarensis (Damara mole-rat). RNAcentral's name for it is "lncRNA (ENSFDAG00000026730.1)". Lineage: Eukaryota; Metazoa; Chordata; Mammalia; Rodentia; Bathyergidae. The record is from RNAcentral.